This 214-nucleotide ribosomal RNA is filed under the name Arthropoda sp. MM00293. Its description in RNAcentral is "partial small subunit ribosomal RNA". It matches the Rfam family "Eukaryotic small subunit ribosomal RNA", at positions 592 to 782 of the family's 1831-position model. Lineage: Eukaryota; Metazoa; Arthropoda. The record is from RNAcentral.
CAAUAGCAUAUAUUAAAGUUGUUGUGGUUAAAAAGCUCAUAGUUGGAUUACAGUUUUGGGACUGAUGGUAUAUACACCUAUUGGUGCUUACUGUCACGCUCCUAGACCAGCUCACUUUUGUUGGUGGGCCCCGCUGGCUCGCACGGGGUGCUCUUGAUCGAGUGUCCCGAGUGGCCGGUAUGUUUACUUUGAAAAAAUUAGAGUGUUUCAGGCA